AAUUUUCCAAUAAGACAGUAAGAGCUGCUAAAAAACAGGCCGAUGUCACCCUGCAGGCCUCCGGUCAUCUUUCUGUCAGCCCCUCUGUAAACAUGAAUUCUCAGAGUUACCCUCCCAGCAUGGCAACAGCUGCUUAGCUUCUCCUUCUCCUGGGUCUUUCCUCGGAGAUAAUCCUUUGCUGUUGAGAUUGGGAAAAUGAUGAUGAGCCAGCUGUCACUUGUACCCAGCCAGGCCAGACGGUCCAGGUCAGCUUGGCUUGAACUCCCCCAGUGCACGCGGAGCAUGACAGCCCAAAGCCCCCUUCUGAGAUUCCUGAGAAUUUCCAGAUCUCACCAAUGCAUGAGCUUUAGGUUCCGUGAAAUCUUGAUCUGCCUCUGCAUCUCACCCCAGGUCGAGGCUUCCCCGUUUGUUCCGAGAUCAGCAGGACUUCCAUGGACAACUGUGCUGCUGGGCCACCAUGGAGAAGCUUCUGGAAUGGAAGUCAGGAGUGAUCACAGAGGGUGGAGACUGUGUACCUGUGAGACAGUGAGCCUACGGCCUACCUGGAAGAAGUGUCUGGGGGCCACCGUCAUGACCCUUACUAACAGGAACAUAUGGCCACCAGAUGCUUCCCUGACAGUAGCACUUCCCUGA
Molecule: long non-coding RNA, 633 nt
Filed under: Ictidomys tridecemlineatus (thirteen-lined ground squirrel)
Lineage: Eukaryota; Metazoa; Chordata; Mammalia; Rodentia; Sciuridae
Description: lncRNA (ENSSTOG00000031921.1)
Source: RNAcentral